RNAcentral lists this ribosomal RNA (491 nucleotides) under Bacillota bacterium. RNAcentral's name for it is "partial 23S ribosomal RNA". It matches the Rfam family "Bacterial large subunit ribosomal RNA", at positions 1 to 502 of the family's 2925-position model. The record is from RNAcentral. Lineage: Bacteria; Bacillati; Bacillota.
AUUUAAGCUAUAAAGAGCGUAUGGAGGAUGCCAAGGCAUCAGGCGCCGAAGAAGGACGCGGUAAGCUGCGAAAAUCUGCGGGGAGUCGCAAACAGACAUCGAUCCGCAGGUAUCCGAAUGCGGGAACGCACCCGAAGUAAAGGUCGGGUAUGCUUACAUGAACACAUAGUGUAAGCAGGGGAACCCGGGGAACUGAACCAUCUAAGUACCCGGAGGAAGAGAAAGUAAAACAACGAUUACCUAAGUAGUGGCGAGCGAAAGGGUAAGAGCCCAAAAGCGAAGCAGAAAUGUUUUGUGGCAGAGACGUGCAAGAGCCGACAUAGACGAACCGGCGAGGAAACCCGGGCGAGACAAGGUAAAAGCCCUGUAGUCGAAAUAGAGGCGAAGCUAUCUGCAAGAGAGUACCAUGGAGCACGAGAAAUUCCGUGGGAAGGCGGGAGGCCCAUCUCCCAAGGCUAAAUACGACCUGAUGACCGAUAGAGAAGAGUACC